RNAcentral lists this ribosomal RNA (400 nucleotides) under uncultured bacterium. Its description in RNAcentral is "bacterial SSU rRNA". It matches the Rfam family "Bacterial small subunit ribosomal RNA", at positions 355 to 772 of the family's 1533-position model. The record is from RNAcentral.
UGGGGAAUCUUGGACAAUGGGCGCAAGCCUGAUCCAGCCAUGCCGCGUGGAUGAUGAAGGCCCUAGGGUUGUAAAAUCCUUUCGUCAGGGACGAUAAUGACGGUACCUGAAGAAGAAGCCCCGGCUAACUUCGUGCCAGCAGCCGCGGUAAUACGAAGGGGGCUAGCGUUGUUCGGAAUUACUGGGCGUAAAGCGCGUGUAGGCGGGUCGUUAAGUCGGGGGUGAAAGCCCAGAGCUCAACUCUGGAACUGCCUUCGAUACUGGCGAUCUGGACCCAAGGAGAGGCGAGUGGAAUUGCGAGUGUAGAGGUGAAAUUCGUAGAUAUUCGCAGGAACACCAGUGGCGAAGGCGACUCGCUGGACUUGUGGUGACGCUGAGACGCGAAAGCGUGGGGAGCAAA